RNAcentral lists this transfer RNA (72 nucleotides) under Ixodes scapularis (black-legged tick). It matches the Rfam family "tRNA". From Rfam's summary of the family: Transfer RNA (tRNA) molecules are approximately 80 nucleotides in length. Their secondary structure includes four short double-helical elements and three loops (D, anti-codon, and T loops). Further hydrogen bonds mediate the characteristic L-shaped molecular structure. tRNAs have two regions of fundamental functional importance: the anti-codon, which is responsible for specific mRNA codon recognition, and the 3' end, to which the tRNAs corresponding amino acid is attached (by aminoacyl-tRNA synthetases). tRNAs cope with the degeneracy of the genetic code in two manners: having more than one tRNA (with a specific anti-codon) for a particular amino acid; and 'wobble' base-pairing, i.e. permitting non-standard base-pairing at the 3rd anti-codon position. The record is from Rfam by way of RNAcentral. Lineage: Eukaryota; Metazoa; Arthropoda; Arachnida; Ixodida; Ixodidae.
UCCUUGUUAGCUCAGUUAUAGAGCGCUCUGCUGGAAAUGGAGAGGCCCCUGGUUCCAUACCAGGACCAGGCG